This 326-nucleotide long non-coding RNA is filed under the name Oryza brachyantha (malo sina). RNAcentral's name for it is "long non-coding RNA (OBRA_LNC000111)". The record is from RNAcentral. Lineage: Eukaryota; Viridiplantae; Streptophyta; Magnoliopsida; Poales; Poaceae.
UUACAAGUGAAAAACUGGUACACAAUAAUAUCACCCUUCCGACAUGAAUAUUUUUUCUAUGCUACUUGAUAAGCAAUAAUGCCGUUAUGUCGACGUGUAAUACAAAUUUCCAGGACAGAUAUUCAACAAACUGAUACAGUCAUACACUGGCAAGGCAAACACACCUAAUGUCAUGAAAUGAAAAACCAGGUAAUCAGGUAUAGCUGGUUAGUUUGCUUGCCUUAUGCUUCCACUGAAUGAAUGAAACUGUUCCUUGCAAUGGGUAAAGUACUCAUCAAAUAUCGUUUGCUUCACCCUUCGGAAAGACAAACAGCACUUUCAUAUUA